CCUACGGGAGGCAGCAGUCGAGAAUCAUUCACAAUGGAGGAAACUCUGAUGGUGCGACGCCGCGUGGAGGAAUGAAGGUCUUCGGAUGUUAAACCCCUGUCCUGGGGGUGCAAAUUAAAAAUAUCGUACCACAAGAGGAAGAGACAGCAAACUCUGUGCCAGCAGCCGCGGUAAUACGGAGGUGUCAAGCGUUGUUCGGAAUCACGGGGCGUAAAGCGUGCGUAGGCUGUGUCGUAAGUCGUGUGUGAAAGGCGGGGGCUCAACCCGCGGAUGGCACAUGAUACUGGGAGGGUAGAGUAAAGGAGGGGUAACUGGAAUUCUCGGUGUAGCAGUGAAAGGCGUAGAUAUCGAGAGGAACACUCGAGGCGAAGGCGGGUUCCUGGACAUUAACUGACGCUGAGGCACGAAGGCCAGGGGAGCGAAAGGGAUUAGAUACCCCUGUAGUC
This 446-nucleotide ribosomal RNA is filed under the name uncultured bacterium. RNAcentral describes it as "partial 16S ribosomal RNA". It matches the Rfam family "Bacterial small subunit ribosomal RNA", at positions 338 to 795 of the family's 1533-position model. The record is from RNAcentral.